This 1494-nucleotide ribosomal RNA is filed under the name uncultured bacterium. RNAcentral's name for it is "16S ribosomal RNA". It matches the Rfam family "Bacterial small subunit ribosomal RNA". The record is from RNAcentral.
CGUGCCUAAUACAUGCAAGUCGAGCGAGCCGAACUAAUUGAUUACCUUCGGGUAUGAAGUUAGGGAAGCGAGCGGCGGAUGGGUGAGUAACACGUGGGUAACCUACCCUAUAGUCUGGGAUAUCACUUGGAAACAGGUGCUAAUACCGGAUAAAAGGAGAGAUCACAUGAUUUCUUUUUGAAAGGCGGCGUAAGCUGUCGCUAAAGGAUGGACCCGCGGUGCAUUAGCUAGUUGGUAAGGUAACGGCUUACCAAGGCAACGAUGCAUAGCCGAGUUGAGAGACUGAUCGGCCACAUUGGGACUGAGACACGGCCCAAACUCCUACGGGAGGCAGCAGUAGGGAAUCUUCCACAAUGGACGCAAGUCUGAUGGAGCAACGCCGCGUGAGUGAAGAAGGUUUUCGGAUCGUAAAGCUCUGUUGUUGGUGAAGAAAGAUAGUGAGAGUAACUGCUCAUUAUUUGCCGGUAAUCAACCAGAAAGUCACGGCUAACUACGUGCCAGCAGCCGCGGUAAUACGUAGGUGGCAAGCGUUGUCCGGAUUUAUUGGGCGUAAAGCGAGCGCAGGCGGAAAGAUAAGUCAGAUGUGAAAGCCCUCGGCUUAACCGAGGAAUAGCAUCGGAAACUGUCUUUCUUGAGUGCAGAAGAGGAGAGUGGAACUCCAUGUGUAGCGGUGGAAUGCGUAGAUAUAUGGGAAGAACACCAGUGGCGAAGGCGGCUCUCUGGUCUGUAACUGACGCUGAGGCUCGAAAGCAUGGGUAGCGAACAGGAUUAGAUACCCUGGUAGUCCAUGCUGUAAACGAUGAGUGCUAAGUGUUGGGAGGUUUCCGCCUCUCAGUGCUGCAGCUAACGCAUUAAGCACUCCGCCUGGGGAGUACGACCGCAAGGUUAAAACUCAAAGGAAUUGACGGGGGCCCGCACAAGCGGUGGAGCAUGUGGUUUAAUUCGAAGCAACGCGAAGAACCUUACCAGGUCUUGACAUCUAGUGCCAACCUAAGAGAUUAGGCGUUCCCUUCGGGGACACUAAGACAGGUGGUGCAUGGCUGUCGUCAGCUCGUGUCGUGAGAUGUUGGGUUAAGUCCCGCAACGAGCGCAACCCUUAUUAUUAGUUGCCAGCAUUAAGUUGGGCACUCUAAUGAGACUGCCGGUGACAAACCGGAGGAAGGUGGGGAUGACGUCAAGUCAUCAUGCCCCUUAUGACCUGGGCUACACACGUGCUACAAUGGGCAGUACAACGAGGAGCGAACUUGUGAAGGCAAGCGAAUCUCUGAAAGCUGUUCUCAGUUCGGACUGUAGGCUGCAACUCGCCUACACGAAGCUGGAAUCGCUAGUAAUCGCGGAUCAGCACGCCGCGGUGAAUACGUUCCCGGGCCUUGUACACACCGCCCGUCACACCAUGAGAGUUUGUAACACCCAAAGCCGGCCGGAUAACCUAGUUUACUAGGAGUCAGCCGUCUAAGGUGGGACAAAUGAUUAGGGUGAAGUCGUAACAAGGUA